UGUAUACUCCCUUCGCCUAGAAUUACUUGUCACAUAAAUGGAUGUAUCUAGACGAAUUUUUAGUUCUAGAUCCAUUAAUUUCUAUCCAUUUUUGCGUCAAGUAAUUUAGGACCGAGGGAGUAUAUG
Triticum aestivum (bread wheat) is the source of this 126-nucleotide non-coding RNA. NCBI's taxonomy places the organism in Eukaryota, Viridiplantae, Streptophyta, Magnoliopsida, Poales, Poaceae. The record is from Rfam.